CACGGGGUUGCGAGCGUUGUCCGGAAUUACUAGGCGUAAAGGGCAGGCAGGCGGAUCCAUAAGUUUAUCGUUUAAGGCGUCGGCUUAACCGGCGUAGGGCGGUAGAUACUGUGGAUCUGGAAUACGGUUGGGGAAGACAGAAUUCCUGGUGUAGCGGUGGAAUGCGCAGAGAUCAGGAGGAAUACCGAAGGCGAAGGCAGUCUUCCAAGCCGUUAUUGACGCUCAACUGCGAAGGUGUGGGUAUCAAACAGGAUUAGAUACCCUGGUAGUCCCUGAG
Molecule: ribosomal RNA, 277 nt
Filed under: uncultured prokaryote
Description: partial 16S ribosomal RNA
Rfam family: Bacterial small subunit ribosomal RNA
Source: RNAcentral